AAGCGUUAAGGGACGAGAUCAGCGGCGGCUGGAGGAGACUCGUCUUCAGAUCCUCCGUCAGUCAGGACGCCAUCGUGAGAACAGAGCUGUUUACAGUCGGUAAGGCUCGACCUCUGCGACCCCGUCAUGCGGGCCGGCUGGAGGCGGCGGGGCUGAAAUCACAACACUGAUCUAAAGAGGAAAUGUGUUUCAACAUUUAAGAAUUUAUUACAUCCUCCUAAAAAAGGUUGUGAUAUUUUUUUCCUGCCAGUUUUUUUCAUCAAGGAAAAAUGUUCAUAUUUCCUCAGAAUCUUUACGGACAAACAUUCAUGCUCCCCGGAGGAUGAACCCUCUGUUCAUCUCCACAGACCAGAUGAGCCUGAGGCUCCUGGAGCGUAAAUCAUCAGCUUUGCACACGAGCUGCUGCCUCUCGUUUUCUGACAGGUUGACCACCAUGAAAUUGCACUGAGGACAUUCCAGCUCCCAGCAGGAUAAACCAGGAUUACUGAUCUUUUUCUCACAAUUUCCAGCGUUGACAGGUUGUUACAUGAAUCUGAGCGAGGUCACAGCAGACCAGGAGUUAUUGGUUGGUAUUUGACGUGUAGACUGACACAGAGGUUCAGGUGCAGUGAUCAGCUGAUCCAUGACAGCAGUGAUGAUGUAAUUAACCUCGACGCGUUCACCGUCCUGUUUUCUACACCGACAAAUCUGUCGUCCGGGAGCAGCUGUGGAGUUUGAGUUUGUGCGAUGGGGUCACGGGGCGGAGCAGGAACAUCAGAAUAACCACCAAGAAAAAUUGGGUGCUUUUUAAUGACUGCGUCUGACCUGAGCUCAGCUCCAACCAGCCAGGAGGAAGGAAAACACCUGUGCAGAGAAGGAGAGCUGACGGCAGCUCAGCCACAGAGACGAGACUGACCGCUGUGGAUCACGUCACCGACGCGGAAUAAUACGUUUUGCAGAUAAAGACGUCUGAUCUCAAAGCAGCUCCUUCCUCUGAACAAACUACAGACUGAUCCUGGGAUGAGUGUGGCCUUCACACACCACCUGUUGAAGUCUUAUCAUCAUCGUGGGGAGGUCACGUUGUGAUUGUUAAGUCCAGUUCAUUGUCAAUACGGCUGAAGGAAGUGUUGUUCCUCAUGAACCAACGUGCAGAAAACAGUGUAAACAGAGACACAGCAGCUCUACGAAGGUGGGCGUGAUGCAUAUGACUACUGGCGUUUCAGAUGCUUGUGCACUCCUGAACGUAAACACAUGAUAAAUAAUAAACCCUCAGAACAUUAUUAACAGCACAAAUAGAACAGUGGUUAGCAGUGUAAUUAUCUUGAUAUCAUUACUGCAAAUAACUGCAGGAGGAUAUAGAUCAGAGCAAAAGUACAUGUUACUAUAGUAAACAUAGAAUAUAUUAUUAGAAUAUGUAAUAGUAUAAGGAUAUAUGAUGAUUAAAAUAUAUAACCUGACAAUA
This is a long non-coding RNA of Seriola aureovittata, 1441 nucleotides long. RefSeq lists it as uncharacterized. The transcript has 5 exons. The record is from RefSeq and is a predicted model, not a curated record. Lineage: Eukaryota; Metazoa; Chordata; Actinopteri; Carangiformes; Carangidae.